This 497-nucleotide ribosomal RNA is filed under the name uncultured bacterium. RNAcentral's name for it is "partial 16S ribosomal RNA". It matches the Rfam family "Bacterial small subunit ribosomal RNA", at positions 28 to 507 of the family's 1533-position model. The record is from RNAcentral.
GAUGAACGCUGGCGGCGUGCCUAAUACAUGCAAGUCGAGCGAACAGAUGAGGAGCUUGCUCCUCUGACGUUAGCGGCGGACGGGUGAGUAACACGUGGAUAACCUACCUAUAAGACUGGGAUAACUUCGGGAAACCGGAGCUAAUACCGGAUAAUAUAUUGAACCGCAUGGUUCAAUAGUGAAAGACGGUUUUGCUGUCACUUAUAGAUGGAUCCGCGCCGCAUUAGCUAGUUGGUAAGGUAACGGCUUACCAAGGCAACGAUGCGUAGCCGGCCUGAGAGGGCGACCGGCCACACUGGAACUGAGACACGGUCCAGACUCCUACGGGAGGCAGCAGUAGGGAAUCUUGCACAAUGGGCGAAAGCCUGAUGGAGCAACGCCGCGUGAGUGAUGAAGGUCUUCGGAUCGUAAAGCUCUGUUAUUAGGAAAGAAAAACUGUGUACUAAACUAUGCAGGUCUUGACGGUACCUAAUGAAAAAGCCCCGGCUAACUACGUG